This 346-nucleotide ribosomal RNA is filed under the name Agrocybe salicacicola. RNAcentral describes it as "SSU rRNA". It matches the Rfam family "Eukaryotic small subunit ribosomal RNA", at positions 594 to 945 of the family's 1831-position model. The record is from RNAcentral. Lineage: Eukaryota; Fungi; Basidiomycota; Agaricomycetes; Agaricales; Agrocybaceae.
AUAGCGUAUAUUAAAGUUGUUGCAGUUAAAAAGCUCGUAGUUGAAUUUCAGGCCUGGCCGGGCGGUCAGCUUAACGGCGUGCCCUGUCUGGCUGGGCCUUACCUCUUGGGGAGCUGGCGUGUCCUUUAUUGGAUGCGUUGGGGAACCAGGACUUUUACCUUGAGAAAAUUAGAGUGUUCAAAGCAGGCCUAUGCCUGAAUACAUUAGCAUGGAAUAAUAAAAUAGGACGUGCGGUUCUAUUUUGUUGGUUUCUAGAGUCGCCGUAAUGAUUAAUAGGGAUAGUUGGGGGCAUUGGUAUUGAGUCGCUAGAGGUGAAAUUCUUGGAUUGACUCAAGACCAACUAUUG